Long non-coding RNA from Hordeum vulgare subsp. vulgare (domesticated barley), 506 nucleotides. RefSeq lists it as uncharacterized. The transcript is spliced from 5 exons. The record is from RefSeq and is a predicted model, not a curated record. NCBI's taxonomy places the organism in Eukaryota, Viridiplantae, Streptophyta, Magnoliopsida, Poales, Poaceae.
CUGUGCGUCGCCCGGGUGUCAUGGGUCAACCAAGCCAAGGCUUGCCGGAGGCCCAAACCUCUCCCUAUCAUUCAUGGUGAAUGGUGAGUAUUGCAUCAUUGCCUAUUCAAGCAUUAACAAGUACAAUCAAUGAGGAAAAUCUACCGGAUCUGAAGUACCAAUUCGAUACAAUUGAUGUUGAUAAAGGUGGACCAAUUACUGCAUUGAAGAAAUGCAGCAGUGGCCCUUGCGAAGGAUCUUCACAUUAAAGGCUCCUCAUGUUCUCAAGAUUAUUCAGAGAGUAGAAACAUUGCAUGCAGAAAUCUUCAAGAAAGAGGUGAUUUAAGUGGUAACCGAUGAAAUGCCUGCUGGUGAAGCUAUCAUGGAUCCAACUCACGACCUAAUUGGCCACAAAGACCAAAGUCUCGGAUUCCUGGAGCAACAAAUGUAGUGUUGUCAGUCUCUGAAGAUGUGAAUCCGUCUACUCCUAGACUACAACAAAGGGAUGAUUGGGAUACUGAAAGUCA